Acanthopagrus latus (yellowfin seabream) is the source of this 498-nucleotide long non-coding RNA. RefSeq lists it as uncharacterized. The record is from RefSeq and is a predicted model, not a curated record. Lineage: Eukaryota; Metazoa; Chordata; Actinopteri; Spariformes; Sparidae. The transcript has 3 exons.
UCCAUAGACCAUCGUUGCAGCUCUGUUCAGGAGGGUGAACCAGUCAGGCAGCAAACCAUUUUGAUCAGGCAGUAUGUAGGGCAGCUAGAGGCAAGGAGGGACUGGAAAAUAAGGGGGCCUUUGUGGUGCGUGUGUACCGGAGGAGGCGUGCGCAGCGGCACACAUGACCACAUCUGGCCGACUGAUGCGGGCCCUGCGCCUGGAUGUGGCUCUGUUACGUCAAGCAGCCGGGGCGGAUAGGGACCGGCGGACUGGACCAUCUGCACACACGUUAUUUGCGUGCACGUGGUUGUGUCUUCCGCAAAACAAAAAGGCCCCUCAACGUAGAAGUUCCUCCAGAGCGGGGGGUGGAUGGAUGGAAAGAUGGAUGGAUGGAGGCAGCGCCGCUCUCCAGAGGUCCUGAAACACACACCGAGAGCUGUCCGUGGUGCUGGAACCAGCUCCGGCUGUCGUGGUGGUGGUGAACGCCCUGCGCUGGAGUCUGGGAGCCCAGUUUGU